CUUGAAGCGCUAUGAAGAUGCCACCAGUGACAAGAAGAAGCUUGCAGAAGAUUAUGCAAGCCGUAUUGCAAAUUUGCAGAGUAAAUAUAGUCUAUUAGAAGAAAGAUAUGCCAGCUUAUCAAAAACAUUAGAUUCUACUAGAAUCGAGUCCAUGGAAUGGAAAAGGAAAUAUGAGCAGUUACUUUCGAAACAGAAGGCUGAAGAGGAACAGUCAAAUGCAGAGAUAAGUAUUCUUAGGUCGAGAACUAGUGCUGCAGAAGCAAGGGUUAAUGCUGCCAAAGAGCAAGCUGAAUCUGCUCAAGAGGAGGCAGAGGAGUGGAAACGCAAGUACGGCAUUGCUGCCAAGGAAGCAAAGAAUGCUCUUGAGAAGGCAGCAGCUGUCCAAGAGCGCACUAGCAAGCAAGCACAAUUGAGAGAGGAUGCCUUACGGG
Molecule: unclassified non-coding RNA, 431 nt
Filed under: Hevea brasiliensis (rubber tree)
Lineage: Eukaryota; Viridiplantae; Streptophyta; Magnoliopsida; Malpighiales; Euphorbiaceae
Source: RNAcentral